This 416-nucleotide ribosomal RNA is filed under the name uncultured soil bacterium. RNAcentral describes it as "bacterial SSU rRNA". It matches the Rfam family "Bacterial small subunit ribosomal RNA", at positions 59 to 519 of the family's 1533-position model. The record is from RNAcentral.
CAGUCGAACGGGCGUAGCAAUACGUCAGUGGCAGACGGGUGAGUAACACGUGGGAACGUACCUUUUGGUUCGGAACAACACAGGGAAACUUGUGCUAAUACCGAAUAAGCCCUUACGGGGAAAGAUUUAUCGCCGAAAGAUCGGCCCGCGUCUGAUUAGCUAGUUGGUAGGGUAAUGGCCUACCAAGGCGACGAUCAGUAGCUGGUCUGAGAGGAUGAUCAGCCACAUUGGGACUGAGACACGGCCCAAACUCCUACGGGAGGCAGCAGUGGGGAAUAUUGGACAAUGGGCGCAAGCCUGAUCCAGCCAUGCCGCGUGAGUGAUGAAGGCCCUAGGGUUGUAAGGCUCUUUUGUACGGGAAGAUAAUGACGGUACCGUAAGAAUAAGCCCCGGCUAACUUCGUGCCAGCAGCCGCG